RNAcentral lists this ribosomal RNA (588 nucleotides) under Roseodiscus rhodoleucus. RNAcentral describes it as "eukaryotic LSU rRNA". The stretch from base 227 to 380 matches the Rfam family "5.8S ribosomal RNA". Lineage: Eukaryota; Fungi; Ascomycota; Leotiomycetes; Helotiales. The record is from RNAcentral.
UCUUGGUCAUUUAGAGGAAGUAAAAGUCGUAACAAGGUUUCCGUAGGUGAACCUGCGGAAGGAUCAUUACAGAGUUCAUGCCUGAAGAAGGUAGAUCUCCCACCCUUUGCUUACCUUACCAUGUUGCUUUGGCGGGCCGCCUUGGCCACCGGCUUCGGCUGGUGAGCGCCCGUCAGAGACCCCAAACNNUGAAUUACGUGUCGUCUGAGCACUAUACAAUAGUUAAAACUUUCAACAACGGAUCUCUUGGUUCUGGCAUCGAUGAAGAACGCAGCGAAAUGCGAUAAGUAAUGUGAAUUGCAGAAUUCAGUGAAUCAUCGAAUCUUUGAACGCACAUUGCGCCCCUUGGUAUUCCGAGGGGCAUGCCUAUUCGAGCGUCAUUAUACAACCCUCACGCACNNNCGUGGUGUUGGGGCCGGUCCGUGGACCCCCCCUAAAAUUAGUGGCGGCGCCUGUCGGCUCUACGCGUAGUAAUUCUUCUCGCGACGGAGCCCGGCGGGAGGCUGGCCAGCAACCCCCCAUUCCAUGGUUGACCUCGGAUUAGGUAGGGAUACCCGCUGAACUUAAGCAUAUCAAUAAGCGGAGGAA